CUUAACACAUGCAAGUCGAACGCUGAAGCCCAGCUUGCUGGGUGGAUGAGUGGCGAACGGGUGAGUAACACGUGAGUGACCUUCCCUUGACUCUGGGAUAAGCCCGGGAAACUGGGUCUAAUACCGGAUACGACCUCCUAUCGCAUGGUGGGGGGUGGAAAGAUUUAUCGGUCUUGGAUGGACUCGCGGCCUAUCAGCUUGUUGGUGAGGUAAUGGCUCACCAAGGCGACGACGGGUAGCCGGCCUGAGAGGGUGACCGGCCACACUGGGACUGAGACACGGCCCAGACUCCUACGGGAGGCAGCAGUGGGGAAUAUUGCACAAUGGGCGCAAGCCUGAUGCAGCGACGCCGCGUGAGGGAUGACGGCCUUCGGGUUGUAAACCUCUUUCAGUAGGGAAGAAGCGAAAGUGACGGUACCUGCAGAAGAAGCGCCGGCUAACUACGUGCCAGCAGCCGCGGUAAUACGUAGGGCGCGAGCGUUAUCCGGAAUUAUUGGGCGUAAAGAGCUCGUAGGCGGUUUGUCGCGUCUGCCGUGAAAGUCCGGGGCUUAACCCCGGAUCUGCGGUGGGUACGGGCAGACUAGAGUGCAGUAGGGGAGACUGGAAUUCCUGGUGUAGCGGUGAAAUGCGCAGAUAUCAGGAGGAACACCGAUGGCGAAGGCAGGUCUCUGGGCUGUUACUGACGCUGAGGAGCGAAAGCAUGGGGAGCGAACAGGAUUAGAUACCCUGGUAGUCCAUGCCGUAAACGUUGGGCACUAGGUGUGGGGGCCAUUCCACGGUUUCCGCGCCGCAGCUAACGCAUUAAGUGCCCCGCCUGGGGAGUACGGCCGCAAGGCUAAAACUCAAAGGAAUUGACGGGGGCCCGCACAAGCGGCGGAGCAUGCGGAUUAAUUCGAUGCAACGCGAA
This 907-nucleotide ribosomal RNA is filed under the name Citricoccus sp. RNAcentral's name for it is "bacterial SSU rRNA". It matches the Rfam family "Bacterial small subunit ribosomal RNA", at positions 47 to 965 of the family's 1533-position model. The record is from RNAcentral. Lineage: Bacteria; Bacillati; Actinomycetota; Actinomycetes; Micrococcales; Micrococcaceae.